CAGCAGCCGCGGUAAUACGAAGGGUGCAAGCGUUAAUCGGAAUUACUGGGCGUAAAGCGUGCGUAGGCGGUUUGUUAAGUCUGCUGUGAAAUCCCCGGGCUCAACCUGGGAAUGGCAGUGGAUACUGGCAAGCUAGAGUGUGUCAGAGGAUGGUGGAAUUCCCGGUGUAGCGGUGAAAUGCGUAGAGAUCGGGAGGAACAUCAGUGGCGAAGGCGGCCAUCUGGGACAACACUGACGCUGAGGCACGAAAGCGUGGGGAGCAAACAGGAUUAGAUACCCCCGUAGUCCCUGUCUCUUAUAC
Molecule: ribosomal RNA, 301 nt
Filed under: uncultured bacterium
Lineage: Bacteria
Description: partial 16S ribosomal RNA
Rfam family: Bacterial small subunit ribosomal RNA
Source: RNAcentral